GUCUACGGCCAUGCUACCCUGAACAAGUCCAAUCCUGUCUCAUGUCGGAAGCUAAGCAGGGUCGGACUUUGUUAGUACUUGGAUGAGAGACCACCUCGGAAAACGAGGUGCUGUAGGCG
Molecule: ribosomal RNA, 119 nt
Filed under: Pteropus alecto (black flying fox)
Lineage: Eukaryota; Metazoa; Chordata; Mammalia; Chiroptera; Pteropodidae
Source: RNAcentral